RNAcentral lists this ribosomal RNA (271 nucleotides) under uncultured bacterium. RNAcentral describes it as "partial 16S ribosomal RNA". It matches the Rfam family "Bacterial small subunit ribosomal RNA", at positions 85 to 353 of the family's 1533-position model. The record is from RNAcentral.
AAGAUGGCGACCGGCGCACGGGUGAGUAACACGUAUCCAACCUGCCGAUAACUCCGGAAUAGCCUUUCGAAAGAAAGAUUAAUACCGGAUGGCAUACGAAUAUCGCAUGAUAUUUUUAUUUAAAGAAUUUCGGUUAUCGAUGGGGAUGCGUUCCAUUAGUUUGUUGGCGGGGUAACGGCCCACCAAGACUACGAUGGAUAGGGGUUCUGAGAGGAAGGUCCCCCACCAUUGGAACUGAGACACGGUCCAAACUCCUACGGGAGGCAGCAUG